RNAcentral lists this ribosomal RNA (1081 nucleotides) under uncultured Gammaproteobacteria bacterium. RNAcentral describes it as "bacterial SSU rRNA". It matches the Rfam family "Bacterial small subunit ribosomal RNA", at positions 49 to 1135 of the family's 1533-position model. Lineage: Bacteria; Pseudomonadati; Pseudomonadota; Gammaproteobacteria. The record is from RNAcentral.
CUACACAUGCAAGUCGAACGGUAACAUUUCUAGCUUGCUAGAAGAUGACGAGUGGCGGACGGGUGAGUAAUGCUUGGGAACUUGCCUUUGCGAGGGGGAUAACAGUUGGAAACGACUGCUAAUACCGCAUAAUGUCUACGGACCAAACGGGGCUUAGGCUCCGGCGCAAAGAGAGGCCCAAGUGAGAUUAGCUAGUUGGUAAGGUAACGGCUUACCAAGGCGACGAUCUCUAGCUGUUCUGAGAGGAAGAUCAGCCACACUGGGACUGAGACACGGCCCAGACUCCUACGGGAGGCAGCAGUGGGGAAUAUUGCAUAAUGGGGGAAACCCUGAUGCAGCCAUGCCGCGUGUGUGAAGAAGGCCUUCGGGUUGUAAAGCACUUUCAGUUGUGAGGAAAAGUUAGUAGUUAAUACCUGCUAGCCGUGACGUUAACAACAGAAGAAGCACCGGCUAACUCCGUGCCAGCAGCCGCGGUAAUACGGAGGGUGCGAGCGUUAAUCGGAAUUACUGGGCGUAAAGCGCACGCAGGCGGUUUGUUAAGCUAGAUGUGAAAGCCCCGGGCUCAACCUGGGAUGGUCAUUUAGAACUGGCAGACUAGAGUCUUGGAGAGGGGAGUGGAAUUCCAGGUGUAGCGGUGAAAUGCGUAGAUAUCUGGAGGAACAUCAGUGGCGAAGGCGACUCCCUGGCCAAAGGCUGACGCUCAUGUGCGAAAGUGUGGGUAGCGAACAGGAUUAGAUACCCUGGUAGUCCACACCGUAAACGCUGUCUACUAGCUGUGUGUGUCUUUAAGACGUGCGUAGCGAAGCUAACGCGCUAAGUAGACCGCCUGGGGAGUACGGCCGCAAGGUUAAAACUCAAAUGAAUUGACGGGGGCCCGCACAAGCGGUGGAGCAUGUGCUUAAUUCGAUGCAACGCGAAGAAUCUUACCUACACUUGACAUGCUGAGAGUUACUAGAGAUAGUUUCGUGCCUUCGGGAACUCAGACACAGGUGCUGCAUGCUGUCGUCAGCUCGUGUCGUGAGAUGUUGGAUAAGUCCCGCAACGAGCGCAUCCUUGUCUUAAUUGCAAGCAAUAGGUUGGG